CCUACGGGAGGCAGCAGUGGGGAAUAUUGCACAAUGGGGGAAACCCUGAUGCAGCGACGCCGCGGGAGUGAAGAAGUAUUUCGGUAUGUAAAGCUCUAUCAGCAGGGAAGAAAAUGACGGUACCUGAUUAAGAAGCCCCGGCUAACUACGUGCCAGCAGCCGCGGUAAUACGUAGGGGGCAAGCGUUAUCCGGAUUUACUGGGUGUAAAGGGAGCGUAGACGGCAGCACAAGUCUGGAGUGAAAUGCCUGGGCUUAACCCCGGAACUGCUUUGGAAACUGUGCAGCUAGAGUGCAGGAGAGGUAAGUGGAAUUCCUAGUGUAGCGGUGAAAUGCGUAGAUAUUAGGAGGAACACCAGUGGCGAAGGCGGCUUACUGGACUGUAACUGACGUUGAGGCUCGAAAGCAUGGGGAGCAAACAGGAUUAGAUACCCCAGUAGUC
RNAcentral lists this ribosomal RNA (440 nucleotides) under uncultured bacterium. RNAcentral's name for it is "partial 16S ribosomal RNA". It matches the Rfam family "Bacterial small subunit ribosomal RNA", at positions 338 to 795 of the family's 1533-position model. The record is from RNAcentral.